CGCUGGCGGCGUGCUUAACACAUGCAAGUCGAGCGAGGCCUCUUCUUCGGGAGGGUGUCCUAGCGGCGAACGGGUGAGUAACACGUGGGCAACCUGCCCCCGGCUCUGGGAUAACUCCAAGAAAUUGGGGCUAAUACCGGAUAUGACUGCUGACCGCAUGGUCUGGUGGUGGAAAGAUUUAUCGGCUGGGGAUGGGCCCGCGGCCUAUCAGCUUGUUGGUGGGGUAGUGGCCUACCAAGGCGACGACGGGUAGCCGGCCUGAGAGGGUGACCGGCCACACUGGGACUGAGACACGGCCCAGACUCCUACGGGAGGCAGCAGUGGGGAAUAUUGCGCAAUGGGCGGAAGCCUGACGCAGCGACGCCGCGUGGGGGAUGACGGCCUUCGGGUUGUAAACCUCUUUCAGCAGGGACAAAGCGCAAGUGACGGUACCUGCAGAAGAAGCACCGGCCAACUACGUGCCAGCAG
Molecule: ribosomal RNA, 468 nt
Filed under: bacterium gwi33
Lineage: Bacteria
Description: bacterial SSU rRNA
Rfam family: Bacterial small subunit ribosomal RNA
Source: RNAcentral